Molecule: long non-coding RNA, 1264 nt
Filed under: Daphnia pulex (common water flea)
Lineage: Eukaryota; Metazoa; Arthropoda; Branchiopoda; Diplostraca; Daphniidae
Description: uncharacterized LOC124207325, transcript variant X1
Source: RNAcentral
UGUCACAUUAGCUGCUCGUUUGUUCAUAAUUUCGAACCCAUCUAAAGAUAAUUUUCAACGACUUUGAGGUAAUUUUGAGUGAUUAAUGGCUGUGGAUUUUGAAAAUGUGUUUCUUUUGUUGGGUGUCCGACAUACGAAGAAAAAAAGAAAUUGAAGAAAUUUCUAAAUUUAAAACCACGUGAGAAUAACUGGCGAGGCUACGGCAGCUUCUUCUGGAUACUCAUCCGUGCUGUUCGGCACAAUUAAAUGUGGACCGUGGAGGUAUCUUUUGGCUGUCGGUAGGUGGCUAAAAUCAUGUCCCGCAGCCACCAGGUGACGCGAGUGUCUUUGUGAGGACGAAAUUUUCGCCAUUGUUUCCCGAGACGCUGACUGAAAGUGUAUUCCAAAUUCAUUACGGAAUUGCGGUGUCAAUUGACAUUUUCAUUCAUGAAAUUAAAUGGGCUAUCUGGCAUAAAAUUUCCACUUGGCCAAAUGAUCUGACAUACUGCCUGAUUCUGGUCAUUCACGAGGUGAAACUGCUGUCCAUUUUGCCGAAAUGUCGUCCAUUGUUAGCUAUACCUGUACGGCUGUACGUGUCUCAUCUCGUGCAGAAACCCUUCAUAUGCUGUUGAUGUACAGGUUGGAGAUCCCUUUGGUUAACUGUUGCAGAAUUUGCGAACACGACAAAGUCUGAGCUUCGUGGAUGUCUAUCAUUAACAUGAUUUUAUUGCAGCCAGCUGGUGAAAGGUGUGUGAGUUGAGAUGAGCUGCCAUUGCUGCAUCCAGUUUAUCGAGCUGGUGUUAUCCCGAAGUGUCACUGCAGGAAGACUUUAAAUUGGACUUGGUGAUACUUCAACUGUGCUGUUGCUGUUCAAUGUGCAGUGGUUUUGCAGCCUGUUUCCAGUUGAGAGAUGUAAUUUAUGCAGGAUUGAAGAAAAAGAACUGAAGUAGCUGUCACAUCCGGGUUGCUGUCUUGAAAUCAUUUUAUUUUUGUUUUUUGCUCUGCCAUUUAUUUCUUGUGUUGAGUACUUGAAAAUGGUUCAUCUGUCGUCUUUUGCGUUUUCACUUCUGAGUAUACCAUCUGCAGUAUACGACUGUGGCAAACUGAUCAUAUGUCAGUUUUGAUACAGUCGACAACUGCUAGAUUAAAUUCCGGCUUUCUGCACCAACAAAAUAAUAACGGCACAUGUUAUUAUCGCGGUUGGGAAAGUCACAGGCCCCCCCCUCCCUGGGGGCCAAAAAUUAUAUAUGUGGUUGUGUUAAAAUAAAUAAACAAAUUAAAUAAA